CCCAGACGUUAUUGAGAACCGGCUAACGGGUCAGCUCUGAGCUAGGCGCCGUGAGAACGCUUAAUAAGACCGUAUCUUUUCAGGAAGUCUACAGGCGAGACUCAAACUGAGAAACUUAAAGGGUGUGUGUGCGGGGCAAAUCGUAGGGUACCAGGAGACCCAAACCCCAAACUUUGGGGCUCGUCUGUCGGUGACCUUUUCCACCUUUUCUGAUGCUGUGGCUGUGCUGACCUUCGUUAAGCCACUCCCACACAAGAACUCUAGGCUGACCUUCUGCUAUUUGUUUUCACUUCAAGAUUCCCCUUUUGAUGCUUAUUUUAUCCUGAUACCGCCCGAGUGCCGAGAGUGGAGGUGGACGAUGUGAUUUGCAUCUGCAAAAUGCAGAAGAUUUGGGACCCCUCUUGGAACCUUCUUCCAUCCCUAGAUUUCCUGAUAGAUGAUGCUGAAGAUGGAGGAACUGAAGCAUAGAGAUAAGUGACUUGCCCAAAGUCACACAGAUAGUAACUGGAAAAACCAGGACUCAAAUCCAAGCAUCUUAGCUUCAGAACCCAGUGCUUAACUAGCUACACCAAACUGCCUCCUCAAGACGUAAGCACUGGGAAAAAUUGUUCAAUACAUACACAGAACGGACUUGAAGAAGUCUUCUUUUGGCAACAUGACUGAAAUAUAAGCCAAAGAAACAAACAAAGACACACAAAAACAAAGGGAUCUAGUCUCAAAAAUUACUUUUAACAAUAUAUCAACUUUAACUUGAUUGAUCCUUUUAAAAUUCUAUCAAAGACAAAAAAAAAAAAAAGAAAACUACCACUUGCAGAAAUUUAUUACCCAGUCAUUAGAGCCAUUCACUUCCUCAGUUUCUGGGAAAUAUAUAAAAAAGGUCUUACCAAAAUUAAACAUAUCAUUGCUAUUCCUUU
This is a long non-coding RNA of Aethalodelphis obliquidens (Pacific white-sided dolphin), 914 nucleotides long. RefSeq lists it as uncharacterized. The record is from RefSeq and is a predicted model, not a curated record. Lineage: Eukaryota; Metazoa; Chordata; Mammalia; Artiodactyla; Delphinidae. The transcript has 3 exons.